UUGAAAGGGAAACGAUUGAAGUCAGUCGUACCGACGAGAAAUCAGCUUAUCGUGUGUUAACUUGUGGGCGUGCGUGAGUUUCGGCCUCGCUGUUUGCAUGUUUGUGCGCUUUGGGUGUACUUUUUCGUAUGGUUGGCCAACAUCAGUUUCGAUCACCAUAAAAUGACUGGCGGAAUGUAGCUUCGAUUUCGGUUGAAGUGUUAUAGCCUCUGGUAGAUGUGGUGAUUGAGACUGAGGAUUGCAACGAAUAUCCUUUGGGCUAUCCGUCUGGCCUCUGAAAGUUGCUUGGGUGCUGAAAGCUUGCUUAUGGUUAUCUAAGUUAACGGUCAAUAGGUUAGAACGUGAUUACAUUCGUUAAGGAUGUUGACGUA
Molecule: ribosomal RNA, 371 nt
Filed under: uncultured Glomeromycotina
Lineage: Eukaryota; Fungi; Glomeromycota
Description: eukaryotic LSU rRNA
Source: RNAcentral